RNAcentral lists this long non-coding RNA (331 nucleotides) under Daucus carota (carrot). RNAcentral's name for it is "long non-coding RNA (DCAR_LNC003119)". Lineage: Eukaryota; Viridiplantae; Streptophyta; Magnoliopsida; Apiales; Apiaceae. The record is from RNAcentral.
CUUCUGAAUGCUAAGAACACGGAAACACAAAAGCCCAUUGCUUGGGGUAGGGUGGGGAGAGGCUGUUUCUGUAUCUGGGAUGAUCUAAUCAAAUAUCUUCUCAUCUACCCAAGAGAAAAGUUGAAUUUCUGUUUUGCUUGCCAAACAACAAAGAGUGAAGCUCAACCGUUGUUUUGGUUAAGAAAAUUAGCUAUACAGGGGUAUACUUGAUCAACUGCCUGCAAUGAACCAAUACACUGAAGUUAAGCCAUAGCAAAAAUAGUAAGAGCCAGUAUCAACGGGAAGUAACAACUAAAAACAAAAAUAUAACUACCUGCCGACCUCCCACCAA